Molecule: ribosomal RNA, 596 nt
Filed under: uncultured eukaryote
Lineage: Eukaryota
Description: bacterial SSU rRNA
Rfam family: Eukaryotic small subunit ribosomal RNA
Source: RNAcentral
CCAGCUCCAAUAGCGUAUAUUAAAGUUGCUGCAGUUAAAACGCUCGUAGUUGAACCUUGGGGUUUGUGGUGGUUGUUGGUCGCAAGACCGGACAGCGACUGGAGCCCUUUUGGGGUGGGUUGACCAUACGGUCAAAUCUCCACCCGCGUUACUGUGAAGAAAUUAGAGUGUUUAAAGCAGGCUUGAGCUUGAAUACAUCAGCAUGGAAUAACAUUAUAGAGUUGAGAGUCUAUAUUUGUUGGUUUUGGAAAUUCAACAAUGAUUAAUAGGGCCAGUUGGGGGCAUUAGUAUUUAGUAGUCAGAGGUGAAAUUCUUGGAUUUACUAAAGACUAACUAGUGCGAAAGCACUUGCCAAGGAUGUUUUCAUUAAUCAAGAACGAAAGUUAGGGGAUCGAAGACGAUCAGAUACCGUCGUAGUCUUGACUAUAAACGAUGCCGACUUGGGAUUGGCGGAGAUGGAUUAUCCACUCUGUCAGGACCAUAGAGAAAUCAAAGUUUUUGGGUUCUGGGGGGAGUAUGGUCGCAAGGCUGAAACUUGAAGGAAUUGACGGAAGGGCACCACCAGGAGUGGAGCCUGCGGCUUAAUUCGACUCAAC